CCCACCCACCCCCACAUCGGCCGCGCGCCGCCCAUGCCUCACCCCCCUCUCGUCGCCGUCGCCGCCGCCACCCUCCGCCGCCGCCUCCUCCUCUCCUCGCCGCUCGCCUCCUUCUCCUCCUCCCGCACCCGCCGCAUCCUCCCCCGCGCCAUGGAGUCCUCCACCACCGCCGCCGCGGAGCACGCAGGUGGCGCGGCGGCGGGGGAGUACGAGGAGGUGCUGGGGCGCCUCUCCUCGCUCAUCACGCAGAAGGUGCGCGCCGACACCGGCAACCGCGGCAACCAGUGGGACCUCAUGGCCCGCUACCUCCAGAUUCUGGAGCUGGAGGAGCCCAUCGCGCGGAUGAAGGUCAUCCAUGUCGCCGGCACCAAAGGGAAGGGUUCGACAUGCACAUUCACGGAGUCAAUCCUGCGAUCCUGUGGCUUCCGUACCGGGCUAUUCACAUCACCGCAUUUGAUGGAUGUCCGGGAGCGGUUCCGGCUAGAUGGGGUGGAUAUUUCUGAAGAGAAGUUUUUGAAGUACUUCUGGUGCUGCUGGAAUAAACUGAAGGAGAAGACUGAUGAUGAUAUUCCCAUGCCAGCGUAUUUCAGGUUCAUGGCCUUGCUCGCAUUCAAGAUCUUUUCUGCUGAGCAGGUAGAUGUAGCUCUUCUCGAGGUUGGUCUUGGAGGGAAGUUCGAUGCAACUAAUGUGGUUAAAUCUCCUGUAGUCUGUGGAAUAUCCUCUCUUGGAUAUGAUCAUAUGGAAAUUCUUGGAAAUACGCUUGGUGAAAUUGCUGGGGAGAAGGCUGGAAUUUUCAAGAAAGGAGUUCCAGCUUACACUGCUCCACAGCCAGAAGAGGCAAUGGUUGCUCUCAAACGAAGAGCUUCAGAAUUGGGCAUUUCACUCCAAGUCGUUGAUCCUUUGAAGCCACAUCAGUUGAAAGAUCAACAUCUUGGACUGCAAGGUGAACACCAAUAUGAAAAUGCUGGCCUUGCAGUCGCACUCGCUAGUACAUGGCUUGAGAAGCAGGGACACGUGGACAGAAUGCCACUCAACCACACUGAUCCCUUACCAGAUCAGUUCAUUAGAGGGCUGUCAAGUGCUUCUUUGCAAGGCCGAGCGCAAAUUGUUCCAGAUUCACAAGUAAAUUCAGAAGAGAAGGGCCAAGAUAGUUCUUUGGUAUUCUAUUUGGAUGGGGCACACAGCCCUGAAAGUAUGGAAAUAUGUGCGAGGUGGUUUUCCCAUGCUACCAAGGAGCAGUCUCAGACUUGCAGCAAAUCUCGGAAGGUAUUUCUCACAGCCUGUCUAGUUUUAUCAUGUUUGAGUGACUUGCUUUUGCAUGUAUCGUUUCAGUCUUCUCCCUCAUACGGGUGUCUUCUAUGGGACACAUUGCAGAUUCUUCUAUUCAACUGCAUGUCUGUGAGAGAUCCUAUGAGAUUGCUUCCACAUCUCGUUGAUACUGCAACUCAAAAUGGGGUGCACUUUGAUCUGGCCCUAUUUGUGCCAAAUCAGUCACAACACAACAAGCUUGGUUCUAAGGCAUCAGCACCUGCUGGUCCUGAGCAAAUUGAUUUGUCAUGGCAGCUAUCUCUCCAAGCAGUGUGGGAGAAAUUACUUCAUGAUGAUAAUAAAGGUUCGCCUGAACUUGGUUGCUUACAAGCUUUAGUCACUUGUGUUAUGAAAUGAGCUUCUAUUCCACGGGGCCAGCAGUACAUAUACAUGCGAGGGAAAUAAGCAAAGAAGCCCCUGUACAUUAUGAGAACUACAAAAAGUUCAAACAGCACGGAUUCUGGCGAGACUAGCCUAGUGUUUGAAUCACUGCCACUAGCAAUUGAGUGGCUAAGGAAAAAUGCGGUAGAGGAUCCAUCCACUUCUUAUCAGGUCCUGGUUACUGGCUCUCUGCAUCUCAUCGGCGAUGUACUGAGGUUGCUCAAGAAGUGACAUUUUUUUGGAACAUUAUACAGUUGGAAGCUGAUACUGAAGUAGCUAUACUGAAUAGUGUGACCCCAAGCCGGGGCUCUUGAUGUUUUCGAGAUCUUCCCAGGGCAAGCACAUGGUUUACAGAAAUGCGACAAGCAGUUUGGAAGUGCUUUGCCUGCGAUGCGAAUCGGGCAGCAAGGUGAAAUGUGUUGUAGUAUUUCUUUUCGCGAGAGGAGGGGAGCUUGUUUGUAUUUCUCGUUUAAUGCUUUUCUGGCCAUUGUUGCCACUGUAUUCCUCCUCAUGUAUCCUGGGAAGACAUCGAAAACUCAGACGGAUGUCAGGGCGCAAGCGAAGCAUGAAUAAGCCAACAAGAUGGCAGUUGUUAUUAUCUAAAAAAGAAGUUGUUGA
Molecule: RNA transcript, 2307 nt
Organism: Triticum aestivum (bread wheat)
Lineage: Eukaryota; Viridiplantae; Streptophyta; Magnoliopsida; Poales; Poaceae
Gene name: folylpolyglutamate synthase
Exons: 15
Source: RefSeq, a predicted model, not a curated record